This is a non-coding RNA of Halolamina sp. CBA1230, 19 nucleotides long. The record is from Rfam. Lineage: Archaea; Methanobacteriati; Methanobacteriota; Halobacteria; Halobacteriales; Haloferacaceae.
GGCGAAUGGUGAGUACGCC